CCAUAUUCUUCAUUUGGUGAUUCCAGGCUUGUUUCUGAUAAACCUGAUGACUAUGAGCAUGCAAAAGAGUUCAUCAAAGAUGGCAAGGCAAAGUUACCAUUGGGAACCUUGAGUAAAUCUGAAUGGGAAGCAACAAGUAUUUACUUGGUAUUUGCAUUUGAGAAGCAACUGUGAAACUUCACAUACUGGAUGCAGCAAGAAGAGAUAAUAUCCAUGUGCAAGUUGGAAUGGUCAGAAAUUCAUUGUGGCAACUAUUUUUUUACUUUUUAUUUUUUAAUUAUCAGAAGUGUGCAGGACACUACCAAAAACUAGAGCAAGCUCAUGAUUCUGAGUUACAUUGCCUGUCUGUGACAGAUGGACUUGUGUGUGUGUGUAUAUAAGAAAGAUUCUGAACCAGUCUUUUUAAGCAUUUGUAAGCAAUCUGCAUGCUCUCAAAACUCAUGUUUGAACUUGACACAACUUCAUGUUAGAAACAAAUGUUUUAUUAGUAGAAGUGUGUUUGUGAUUACAAGCCUGACCCUGCACUUUCUGAAGCUGAUGGAAAAAUGACUGUUGACUUUGAUGGUGCAGAAUGAGGGCCUAAAUAUUGUUCUGCAGAGCUCAGUUAAUUCAUAAUGAGAUAUAUUCAGACAUAUAGGGUAUGUCUACAUUGCAUGCAGAGCUAGAUGGCAAAUAAUAUCUAAGUCAGUUUGAGUACCUCUGUGCUGUGCUCAAGCCUGCAGUGUAAAUCUACCUGAGGUGUAGUUUGAAGGUGUAGUUUACAUAGUAAAGUCCCAUGAUGCUCUUGUUUUUUUGUGCUUGCUGAUAUGUAGUGUCACUUCAUGGUGCUUUUGAGAUUAGAUGAGUUUGUUCUGUACAAAA
Molecule: non-coding RNA, 861 nt
Organism: Pelecanus crispus (Dalmatian pelican)
Lineage: Eukaryota; Metazoa; Chordata; Aves; Pelecaniformes; Pelecanidae
Source: RefSeq, a predicted model, not a curated record